Molecule: microRNA precursor, 111 nt
Filed under: Medicago truncatula (barrel medic)
Lineage: Eukaryota; Viridiplantae; Streptophyta; Magnoliopsida; Fabales; Fabaceae
Description: MIR5284 microRNA precursor family
Rfam family: MIR5284 microRNA precursor family
Source: Rfam by way of RNAcentral
CUGUAAUUUCAUAUUCCUCCACUUUUGGUCCCUCAUUUUACUUGCCAUGUGUGCAGAUUCUGCUGACAUGGUGAAAUGAGCGACCAACAGUGGAAGAAUUUGAAAUUACAG